Molecule: ribosomal RNA, 371 nt
Filed under: uncultured organism
Description: partial 16S ribosomal RNA
Rfam family: Bacterial small subunit ribosomal RNA
Source: RNAcentral
AGAGGGUGCAAGCGUUAAUCGGAAUUACUGGGCGUAAAGCGCGCGUAGGUGGUUAGUUAAGUUGGAUGUGAAAUCCCCGGGCUCAACCUGGGAACUGCAUUCAAAACUGACUGACUAGAGUAUGGUAGAGGGUGGUGGAAUUUCCUGUGUAGCGGUGAAAUGCGUAGAUAUAGGAAGGAACACCAGUGGCGAAGGCGACCACCUGGACUGAUACUGACACUGAGGUGCGAAAGCGUGGGGAGCAAACAGGGAUUAGAUACCCUGGUAGUCCACGCCGUAAACGAUGUCAACUAGCCCGUUGGGAGCCUUGAGCUCUUAGUGGCGCAGCUAACGCAUUAAGUUGACCGCCUGGGAGUACGGCCGCAAGGUUA